This 1781-nucleotide ribosomal RNA is filed under the name Shigella flexneri. RNAcentral describes it as "partial 23S ribosomal RNA". It matches the Rfam family "Bacterial large subunit ribosomal RNA", at positions 449 to 2215 of the family's 2925-position model. Lineage: Bacteria; Pseudomonadati; Pseudomonadota; Gammaproteobacteria; Enterobacterales; Enterobacteriaceae. The record is from RNAcentral.
GGGACCAUCCUCCAAGGCUAAAUACUCCUGACUGACCGAUAGUGAACCAGUACCGUGAGGGAAAGGCGAAAAGAACCCCGGCGAGGGGAGUGAAAAAGAACCUGAAACCGUGUACGUACAAGCAGUGGGAGCACGCUUAGGCGUGUGACUGCGUACCUUUUGUAUAAUGGGUCAGCGACUUAUAUUCUGUAGCAAGGUUAACCGAAUAGGGGAGCCGAAGGGAAACCGAGUCUUAACUGGGCGUUAAGUUGCAGGGUAUAGACCCGAAACCCGGUGAUCUAGCCAUGGGCAGGUUGAAGGUUGGGUAACACUAACUGGAGGACCGAACCGACUAAUGUUGAAAAAUUAGCGGAUGACUUGUGGCUGGGGGUGAAAGGCCAAUCAAACCGGGAGAUAGCUGGUUCUCCCCGAAAGCUAUUUAGGUAGCGCCUCGUGAAUUCAUCUCCGGGGGUAGAGCACUGUUUCGGCAAGGGGGUCAUCCCGACUUACCAACCCGAUGCAAACUGCGAAUACCGGAGAAUGUUAUCACGGGAGACACACGGCGGGUGCUAACGUCCGUCGUGAAGAGGGAAACAACCCAGACCGCCAGCUAAGGUCCCAAAGUCAUGGUUAAGUGGGAAACGAUGUGGGAAGGCCCAGACAGCCAGGAUGUUGGCUUAGAAGCAGCCAUCAUUUAAAGAAAGCGUAAUAGCUCACUGGUCGAGUCGGCCUGCGCGGAAGAUGUAACGGGGCUAAACCAUGCACCGAAGCUGCGGCAGCGACGCUUAUGCGUUGUUGGGUAGGGGAGCGUUCUGUAAGCCUGUGAAGGUGUGCUGUGAGGUAUGCUGGAGGUAUCAGAAGUGCGAAUGCUGACAUAAGUAACGAUAAAGCGGGUGAAAAGCCCGCUCGCCGGAAGACCAAGGGUUCCUGUCCAACGUUAAUCGGGGCAGGGUGAGUCGACCCCUAAGGCGAGGCCGAAAGGCGUAGUCGAUGGGAAACAGGUUAAUAUUCCUGUACUUGGUGUUACUGCGAAGGGGGGACGGAGAAGGCUAUGUUGGCCGGGCGACGGUUGUCCCGGUUUAAGCGUGUAGGCUGGUUUUCCAGGCAAAUCCGGAAAAUCAAGGCCGAGGCGUGAUGACGAGGCACUACGGUGCUGAAGCAACAAAUGCCCUGCUUCCAGGAAAAGCCUCUAAGCAUCAGGUAACAUCAAAUCGUACCCCAAACCGACACAGGUGGUCAGGUAGAGAAUACCAAGGCGCUUGAGAGAACUCGGGUGAAGGAACUAGGCAAAAUGGUGCCGUAACUUCGGGAGAAGGCACGCUGAUACGUAGGUGAAGCGACUUGCUCGUGGAGCUGAAAUCAGUCGAAGAUACCAGCUGGCUGCAACUGUUUAUUAAAAACACAGCACUGUGCAAACACGAAAGUGGACGUAUACGGUGUGACGCCUGCCCGGUGCCGGAAGGUUAAUUGAUGGGGUUAGCGCAAGCGAAGCUCUUGAUCGAAGCCCCGGUAAACGGCGGCCGUAACUAUAACGGUCCUAAGGUAGCGAAAUUCCUUGUCGGGUAAGUUCCGACCUGCACGAAUGGCGUAAUGAUGGCCAGGCUGUCUCCACCCGAGACUCAGUGAAAUUGAACUCGCUGUGAAGAUGCAGUGUACCCGCGGCAAGACGGAAAGACCCCGUGAACCUUUACUAUAGCUUGACACUGAACAUUGAGCCUUGAUGUGUAGGAUAGGUGGGAGGCUUUGAAGUGUGGACGCCAGUCUGCAUGGAGCCGACCUUGAAAUACCACCCUUUAAUGUUU